UGAGGCUGGAAGUGGGAGGAACCCAUCAAAGACGUUAUAAGCAGCCGGGCAGUGGUCAGUCCUCACUUUCCGGCAUCAUGGACUCUUCAGAUUCUGACAAGGAAAAGAAAGUGAAGUCCUGUGAAGCAAAAAAGGAUAAAGGGAAGUGCGAGAAAAAGAGUGGUUCAUCAAGCUCCAGCAGCUCAAGCUCUUCAGACGAUGAGGGGAAAGGAAAGUGUGAAGGAAAGAAGAAAGAAAAGAAACAUAAGAAAAAGAAACAUCACUGCAAGUAAUGGAAACCAAGCUGUUGAAGUAGCAACUGACUUUAAUGCUUAUUCUUAUACCUUGCAUCUUGGAUUCCAAGGGGUACUUUCAUUUUUAGAUUAAGCAUAUCCCUCUAUUAGUUCCUUGCAGUUCAAUUUAUUUCAUCCAGGUUUCUGGACAACUCUUCAUGUUGUUCAUGGGUUGUUAAGCAGGCUCUUUAUAUGCAUAAGUCUUUAAAGUAGUUUUGUUAACUGUUAAUUUCCUAUAAAUGUAGAAAGCCAUAUUAUAGCCUCUUGAGGACUAAGCAGAAUUAGAUUUUGGACUGAAGUUAAAGCAAAGUCAACUUUUCUAAUGCCUUGGAGAGAUGUUAAAAUUUCAAACUUUAAUUCUUCAGAUUGAACUGUUUGUCUUGGCUUAGCUUCACUUUUGGUUUUUAAUCCAGGCCAAUGCAAAUAAAUUUGGAAGAAAGACCAAGCUAAGAAGUGACAGUACUAAAUGAUUAUUUUGAUUAGAAAGCAAAGAGCUGACACAAGAAGAAAUAGUGGGAAAUGGUAGCAAAGAUUUCUUAUAGAAAGCAAUAUUAUUAACCACUUCAGUAACUGCUUCAAUAUGCAUGACCAAAAUAAACUUGUUUGGAUCUAUGUUACUACAAUAAACUUUACAAAUUAAAAAUAA
Molecule: long non-coding RNA, 918 nt
Organism: Pristis pectinata (smalltooth sawfish)
Lineage: Eukaryota; Metazoa; Chordata; Chondrichthyes; Rhinopristiformes; Pristidae
Exons: 4
Source: RefSeq, a predicted model, not a curated record